GCUGGGGCAAAUCAGAAAAUCAAACAACAUCGAUCCGGCGAGUCUUCAGGAUUGUGAAUGAUCAUUGUUCAAUUUUUAAAAAGAUCUUGAACAAAACCAAGGGAUGCUGUUAAUUUCACAGUAAUGUUUGUUCGUGUUGAAAAUAC
Long non-coding RNA from Sipha flava (yellow sugarcane aphid), 146 nucleotides. RefSeq lists it as uncharacterized. The transcript has 3 exons. NCBI's taxonomy places the organism in Eukaryota, Metazoa, Arthropoda, Insecta, Hemiptera, Aphididae. The record is from RefSeq and is a predicted model, not a curated record.